AUUGAACGCUGGCGGCAUGCCUUACACAUGCAAGUCGAACGGCAGCACGGGAGCAAUCCUGGUGGCGAGUGGCGAACGGGUGAGUAAUAUAUCGGAACGUGCCCAGUCGUGGGGAUAACGUAGCGAAAACUACGCUAAUACCGCAUACGAUCUAAGGAUGAAAGCGGGGGAUCGCAAGACCUCGCGCGAUUGGAGCGGCCGAUAUCAGAUUAGCUAGUUGGUGAGGUAAAGGCUCACCAAGGCGACGAUCUGUAGCUGGUCUGAGAGGACGACCAGCCACACUGGGACUGAGACACGGCCCAGACUCCUACGGGAGGCAGCAGUGGGGAAUUUUGGACAAUGGGCGCAAGCCUGAUCCAGCAAUGCCGCGUGCAGGAUGAAGGCCUUCGGUUGGUUAAA
RNAcentral lists this ribosomal RNA (399 nucleotides) under uncultured bacterium. Its description in RNAcentral is "bacterial SSU rRNA". It matches the Rfam family "Bacterial small subunit ribosomal RNA", at positions 30 to 430 of the family's 1533-position model. The record is from RNAcentral.